This 438-nucleotide unclassified non-coding RNA is filed under the name Psychotria leptophylla. RNAcentral's name for it is "partial external transcribed spacer". The stretch from base 388 to 438 matches the Rfam family "Eukaryotic small subunit ribosomal RNA", at positions 1 to 51 of the family's 1831-position model. Lineage: Eukaryota; Viridiplantae; Streptophyta; Magnoliopsida; Gentianales; Rubiaceae. The record is from RNAcentral.
GGUAGCGACGUCCUCGCGUGCAUUCCUCUUCAAUUAUUGGCACAAGAGCUUCGUUUUCCUUGGCCAAGUUGUUGGUUUCCUGUGCUGUAUACCUACAUCGAUGGAAUUUUUUGGGCAAUCAAUCCCAAGCUUUCCCACUGCUGCCCAUAUACACGGUGCGGCAUCGGGAAAACCUUGAAGCGAAAUUCGUGUUGCGAAUUGUAUAAAAUUGUCUAUGCAGUCUCGGCCCACGACCGUAGCUCGAUUUUGGGGAUUCAGAAAACACUGCGGGUAAGGGUCGUAUAACCCUCUAUUUGCCCACAAAUUGGCAUUACAUGCCCCAUUCGAUUGACUAUCGAUGUCUCAUAGAUGUUUUACAUCUUGCGACUCGAUGUCUCUGAGGAAUGCUACCUGGUUGAUCCUGCCAGUAGUCAUAUGCUUGUCUCAAAGAUUAAGCCA